This 314-nucleotide unclassified non-coding RNA is filed under the name plant metagenome. RNAcentral describes it as "partial contains 5.8S ribosomal RNA, internal transcribed spacer 2, and large subunit ribosomal RNA". The stretch from base 1 to 105 matches the Rfam family "5.8S ribosomal RNA", at positions 50 to 154 of the family's 154-position model. The record is from RNAcentral.
GAAAUGCGAUAAUUAAUGUGAAUUGCAGAAUUCAGUGAAUCAUCGAGUCUUUGAACGCACAUUGCGACCCCUGGUAUUCCGGGGGGCAUGCCUGUCCGAGCGUCAUUGCUGCCCUCAAGCACGGCUUGUGUGUUGGGCUUCCGUCCCUGGCAACGGGGACGGGCCCAAAAGGCAGUGGCGGCACCAUGUCUGGUCCUCGAGCGUAUGGGGCUUUGUCACCCGCUCCCGUAGGUCCAGCUGGCAGCUAGCCUCGCAACCAAUCUUUUUAACCAGGUUGACCUCGGAUCAGGUAGGGAUACCCGCUGAACUUAAGC